Morone saxatilis (striped sea-bass) is the source of this 1003-nucleotide long non-coding RNA. RefSeq lists it as uncharacterized. NCBI's taxonomy places the organism in Eukaryota, Metazoa, Chordata, Actinopteri, Moronidae. The transcript is spliced from 3 exons. The record is from RefSeq and is a predicted model, not a curated record.
GUCAGACAGAGAGAGUAGCGGUGGAGCAGUCAGUCCUGAGAGGAGGAAGCAGAGAGAAACGAGGAUCUUAACCUGAAAUCUGUACCUCUGCAGCCAGGACCCUGGGGUUUCCAUCUUCUAGUCUGGACUGUGGCUGCUGUUGGGGUCUCAAGUUUUACUCUUGUCUGCCACAGGUACUUUAGUACCUCAAACCAGCCGCAGAAGCAGAAGUGGAGACAGGGAAGAGCUAGACACCGUUCCUUCUGGCCUGAGCAGGACUUCAGACAUGUCUCUACUCUCAGACCCUCUGGAGAAGCUGCACAGCCAGACAGACUCUUUCCUCACUGCAGCCAGGCUUCUUCGAAGAGGAUGGACGGAGGAGGGGAAUAAGACAGGGUUGCAAUUUUCCUAUUUCAACGGCUCAGCGCCCUCUCUCUCCAGGUCAGACGGAAAUCAGGGUCCAAACCCUGCUGAGAUUUGCCCGAAGGACCACAAGAGCAGACGGGUUACCAUGGUGAACAGCAAGAAGACGACUGAGGAGAGAGAGACGGACUGUGAAAAAAAUGCAGAUGAAGUGAGACAGACAACUGAAGGUGCAGAGAUCCGUCUGUCUUUCUCCUUCAAAACACAAGCAGAAACACAGACGAGUCUCCGCAGUCAGACAGGCAUUGUUUGUCUCUGGGCGUCUCGCUGUCACACCACAUGUAGACAGUCCAGAAGGUUCAAGGCCCCGAUGCUACCAGUCAUUGCUGAGAUGUAGGCUAGCUGCCAUUUGUUCCAUAUAGGACAAUGAAUCAAAGGACAGGCACAUGUAAAACACCUGUUUGUGCUUCUUCUUGGUUAUGAUGAGAGUACUAGAGUCUAUUUAGACUUUAAUUACACUUUGUGUUAAAUGGAGAACUUGGCUGAAUUGAAUACUCUUGUGGUAAUUAUGUGAUUAAAUGGACAUGUGGAUUUAUGUGUAUGUGUGAAUAAUGCGUCAAUGCCGUUUAUGCUUGUUUAUUAAAAUGCAGCUAUGUAACUG